Molecule: ribosomal RNA, 596 nt
Filed under: Globigerinoides ruber albus
Lineage: Eukaryota; Foraminifera; Rotaliida; Globigerinidae
Description: partial small subunit ribosomal RNA
Rfam family: Eukaryotic small subunit ribosomal RNA
Source: RNAcentral
UAGUUCGUGGAGUGAUCUGUCUGCUUAAUUGCGUUUCAAAAUUUAACUUGAGGACCGGGUUUUGGUUUGGCUAGUGGUUCUACGAUGACUGUGAACUGUCAUGUCUUCGGAUGUGCGACUAUUGGUCUAGGAUCACAUGACUUGCCCCUGGGACUCUUUUGAACGCAACGGACGUGAUUGCAACCCCUUGUUGAGAUUAGAGAUAGUCUCGAUAUUCACUGGACAAACUGGCUGCUUUAUGCAGUCUUGUUGAAUGGUGGAUAAACUCGGGGGACUGCUGACUAUAACCAUUUCUCAAAACAGAGGAAGGUUGCGGCAAUAACAGGUCUGUGAUGCCCUCAGAUGUCCCGGGCUGCACACGUGCUACAAUGAGUGGCGCAAUGUGCUAAUGUUUAAGGGAUAAGAGUGUGGUCAGUAGAACGUCGGGAUUUCCCCUGACGUCUCCCCCGCACGAUUAUCAGCCUUCCCUUAACAGGGCGGGCAACCUUUUCAAAAUACUGGUUUGAUGUUAAAGUAUUGAGUCGUUUUUUUUGGAUGGUGGUUUGUUAACCAAUACCAUCCGGCAACUGCUCGCGAGUUUGUGGUUCUGGCGACUC